CGGGUUUCGUGACACGCGAAC
RNAcentral lists this microRNA (21 nucleotides) under Dinoponera quadriceps. Its description in RNAcentral is "dqu-miR-981-5p". Its record names the gene dqu-miR-981-5p. Lineage: Eukaryota; Metazoa; Arthropoda; Insecta; Hymenoptera; Formicidae. The record is from miRBase by way of RNAcentral.